UGCCGACCAGGUAUCUGCGCUAUGUUCGGCAUAGAUAUGGCGACCUCCUGGGAGUGGGGGAACACCAGGGUUGCCUAUGAAUGGGGGAACUGGCCCAGGGCAGAAAUGGAGCAUGUCAGAACUCCUGUGUUGAUUGGUAGUGGGACGGCACCUGGGCA
Macaca fascicularis (crab-eating macaque) is the source of this 158-nucleotide unclassified non-coding RNA. It matches the Rfam family "Metazoan signal recognition particle RNA". Rfam says of the family: The signal recognition particle (SRP) is a universally conserved ribonucleoprotein. It is involved in the co-translational targeting of proteins to membranes. Lineage: Eukaryota; Metazoa; Chordata; Mammalia; Primates; Cercopithecidae. The record is from Ensembl.